RNAcentral lists this ribosomal RNA (253 nucleotides) under uncultured bacterium. Its description in RNAcentral is "partial 16S ribosomal RNA". It matches the Rfam family "Bacterial small subunit ribosomal RNA", at positions 524 to 776 of the family's 1533-position model. The record is from RNAcentral.
UACGAACCGUGCGAACGUUGUUCGGAAUCACUGGGCUUAAAGGGCGCGUAGGCGGCUCGACAAGUCGGGGGUGAAAUCUUUCGGCUCAACCGGGAAAGGGCCUCCGAUACUGUCGAGCUCGAGGGAGGUAGGGGCGGACGGAACUUCCGGUGGAGCGGUGAAAUGCGUUGAUAUCGGAAGGAACGCCGGUGGCGAAAGCGGUCCGCUGGCCCUCUACUGACGCUGAGGCGCGAAAGCCAGGGGAGCAAACGGG